RNAcentral lists this transfer RNA (90 nucleotides) under Spirochaetales bacterium. RNAcentral describes it as "tRNA-Sec". It matches the Rfam family "Selenocysteine transfer RNA". The record is from RNAcentral. Lineage: Bacteria; Pseudomonadati; Spirochaetota; Spirochaetia; Spirochaetales.
GGAAGCUGAUGGGAUCUGGUGGUCUCCGCGGUCUUCAAAACCGUUGGCCGCAUUUUUUGCGGCGGCAGGUUCGAUUCCUGCCUCUUCCGA